CAAAUCUCACAAGCAAUUCCAAAUCAACGGUUUUGGAGGAAAUUAGGGUUCUAAAAUGAAAUCAUCUCCAAAUCAACUCUUAUAAAUUAUGGUCGUGCGCUUUCUUCUUCAACUUCACUGGUAUUUUAUGGAAGAAACAGAAGCCACCAUAAAGUUUUGGAACUACUUUUAAGACUGCCAUAGACAAACACCUCGAAAGUCUUCAAUGGCUGGUUGUUAGUUGCAGGUUUGAUUUGAAAUUGCAAGUUGAAUCCCGUUAUAUCAGCCACCAAAUAUGCCAAGACUCAAAUCCUUUCUCUUAUAACCUGAUUCUUUUUUUAUUGCUUCCAUAAAAUCAACAAUUAGAAAAUUUUCAACCAAUAAAUCAAGGAUGUAUCUCUUCUCCAAAAUUGAAUAAGCGCACCACCGCCAUUGCUUCCUCAAAUCUAAAGGUUACAUCCUCCUCCAAACAAAAAAUUAAUCGAUAGCCUUCACCUACCAUUCCAUCAGUGAUAAUGACGGCGAUGGUUUACAUAAGAUGCAAGGGAUUGGUGUUGGUUUUUUAACUCGUGUUUUAGAAGUUGAUCUUAUUGAUGAAGUUGUCCAAGAAAUCGGCUGAAGAUGGAAUCGUUGGAAAGAUGUUUAUGAUUCAUACUUGGAGUAAAAAUUAUAUCCACAUAUCUUUCCCUUUCUCAAUAUAAAAAAGAGCAUUUUCAAUUAAUUGUCUUGAAAUUUGAUUUGUGUUGAUAAUCCACCAACCUAUAAGUUUGCAAAGGUGUCUACUAUGUCAUGACUUUUGUAGUGUUUUCAAGAAAACCUUUUUUCAUUUCGUUAUAAGUUGUAGAUCUGAAGUUACCCAAAUUCCCUAUUUUUAAACGAUAGUAUUAUACCAUAUGUUCUUGAAAUGGUAAAGCAUAAAAAAAACCAUGGAAUUCGACCCCAGGACAUGUCAAUUUGUAUGUUCUGUGUAAUUUUUUUUCUUGAACCUUUUUUGAAAAUUUUUAUAUUUUUUAAUGGACAUUUCCUGCAACUUUAUGUUA
Molecule: long non-coding RNA, 1019 nt
Organism: Lactuca sativa (garden lettuce)
Lineage: Eukaryota; Viridiplantae; Streptophyta; Magnoliopsida; Asterales; Asteraceae
Source: RefSeq, a predicted model, not a curated record